UGCAAAACCAGCUAGUCCUUUAGCUCUGGCUCUCAGAAGCUUGAGGUAGGAGGGGAGUGUGGACAUUUAGGGAAGAGGAAGAGCUUGUACUCCCAAGGCCUGGGGCCGAGAGGGGCCCUCAGGUUGCCCACUCUCACCUCUACCUGCAGACUCCCAGUCAAUGUUUGAGUUUCCCAGAUGGAGGAGGUGAGGCUCUCCUCCUCUGCCAGGUUCAGUCCCUCAGACCUCCCUUGUGGGGCCCCAGAAAAUAAACUGCUCUUGGAGCCAAGGAUGAGGCCUCACCAGAGAGAACCAGCCCAGAGGCAGCCGCACAGCCUUCCUGGCCAGCACUUUGUCUGGCUGACCCCCUUUCAGGAGCUUCUGGGCAGAGUCUGCCUUGAAGGGAUCAGCCUCCUGGGGGCGGGGAGUGAAGUAGGGACUGGGAGUAAGAAGGCUGCGUGGCUGUCGUCCUCUGUGGCCUCGCUGAUGGGGUGGGCCCCGUCCUUCCACCUGCACAGUAGAAAGUGCCUGCACUGGGGGGUUGCCCAGAGGGGGCCCCUUCAGGCCAAGGUCAGAGGUCCUCCAGCCCCAGGGCCUCUCUGCUGGGGGCUCAUGCUUGGGCAGAGCUCAGCUUUCAGCCUAGGCUCCAGCUGGAAGACCAGGCUCAGGAAGACCACUUGCAGAGAGCUGCUGCUGGGGGCAGGAGGUACAGGCAGGAAACAUGGGUGCUGGCCCUACCUGCUGACCCCGGGCCUCAGGGCUGGGCAUGGCCUUCAGUUGCAUCUCAGGGCUUCUGGAAAGAGGCAGGCCCUCCCCGCCUCCUUCAGAGGGAGCCCUGGGCAUGGUCACAGCAGUGGGCAGCUGACUGGUGACAGGGUUCGUUUGCCACCUUGGACCUCGAGCCAUCCCCCUGUGCCCUGAAUCCCAGCACAGGGUUACUUGCAAGGAAAGGAGCCCCUCACUGUGGCCCCUUCCUCAUCCAGAACCAAGGUAACAUCGCUUCCCUCCCUGCCACCUUCACAGUCCCAAGAUGUCAGAGCCUAGGACCUCGGGAUCUCCUGCUACCCAUCCUCUGCAUGGAGCAGCCUCGCUCUCAGAGUGUAGCCUAGAACUCGGGUCACCUUGGGCUCCCUGCUUUUACUCCCUACCCUACCACCAUGCCCCCUGCCCCUUCCCCCACGCGGGCCCCAUCCCCUCACCUGGACAUCUGAUUGACCUUGGCCUGGGCUUCCAUGGCCCCAAGCACCCUCCUGCUGUGGUCAGAGGCUGCUGUGAGAGGUCCCUUGUGGUCCCUCCCCAACUCUGACACCUUCCAGGGUUGAUGUGCCCUCAGGCAGUUGUCUAAGGCCUCCAAAGCUCCACAGGCUUCUCCAGCACCUUCUGCUCCCAGGAGCCCUCUGUCUAGGCCGACCCUUCUGUGCUUCCCCUGUUUAUUGACCCUGCCCUUGUAUUCGUGUCCCUUAGAGCCCCAAGAAUGACCAGCUGACAGCUGAGGACUGGCCCCAGCUAGUCCCCAGCUCAUCAUGCCCUCUGGCAAGGAGUUCCAACCCCACCAUCUGCCUGCCUACCUGCCUGCGAGGUUCCUGUUUCUGCAGAAAGGCUUGCCCUGCCCCAGCCUCAGACCCAGGCUAGUGCUCAAGGUGUGCUGGCCAGGGGGGGCUGGUCACCUCUGAGCCUUAGUACCCUGUCAAAUGGGGACUUGGACUUGGGUAAGAGAAAAUGGGGAUGUGUAAGACAACACAGGCAGCCUCGUCUGCCCCCUCUCCCAGCCAGAGGAGAGUGGCUUAAUCUCCUUUGUUUAUAAGUUACCCAGGAACAGGAGCAGUGGGGGAAGGAGGGCCAGGAAGUGUCCCAGCCACCAGACUGGAGGAGGGGUCUGUGGCCUGGGCUGAAGGGGGACCGGAGGGGCAGGUGUUUUACACUCACAGGAGGAGGAGCUGGCGGGCAAGGAAUAGGGAUCCUGACUCCUGAGCCAGAAGGUGGAGUGGGGGUGGGGGUGUGAGGUGCCCCAGGGACACGGGCCCCAGCAGGCGUGGAGCUGGAGGAAGCUCCUAAUUCAUAUUGAAUUCAGUUCCCUCCACUCUGGGGGGCUGCCGGGCCGGGGCCUCAGGGACCUCUGACCCUGCACCUGGACAGGGGUGGGGAGGGCCUCAGCGCAAGGAUGCCGUUGCAUUUGGGUUUUUCACAUUGCCUAUUUAUGAAUAUAUGAAUCUUUAUAUCAAAUCUAUUUUUUAAAACAUGGAAACGUUGCCUUUAUGGAGACUUCGCAGAGCCAGAGCGUACACAUUCCUAAACCAUUAAACGUUUCUGUAAUGAGCCAAUGGCCCCAGACUGGUUUUCUCAGCUUGGAGCCCAGAGCAUGCCGAGGGGCCUCCUCUCUACAAAUGUGUCACCCUCCUGGAUGGCUUCCCCUGACUGGCCCCCAGGCCUGCCCACUGCCCAUUGCUUGGAGCCCCGUUGAGACCCUCCCUCUGUUCAGACCCAUGAGGGGAUCCCCACCCCCACCUCCUACCAUGAAGAAGCAAUCAGGGCCUCAGGGAUACCUGUGAACUUCUCUGGGCCCCAGGCUCCUUCAGCUGGCUUUAUGUUGGGGAGGUGGUUGGGGACCAAGCCCAGUAUCCCUCAUGCAUCUCCAUGCCUGGGAGGGAUGUGUUGCCAGCCCUCUACCCUUGAUUUUUUUCAGGUGCGCCAACAUGCCCAGGGCUGGGAGUCUGUUCGUGUGCCCUGUGGUCCUGGGCAGGCAGGCUAUUAUUCCAAGUCAGGACCUGAGAUGCCCUGGCAGGUCUGGGUUGUUCCCCUACACCGCCCCCCCCAACACACAUAUCGCCCCGACCAGCGUGGGGCGCGGAGCCAGGCACACAGUAGGCUCAAGGAGCUGCUGAGUGCCUGGAUCAGGGCCCUGAUCCCAAAGUCCACGAAUCCAUAGCCCCCCAAAAUAAUAGGGGGUCUCUGCUGAUGGGGAGGGCAUGGCCCCCAUCUGUCCCUCCUGCUCAGGACAGACUGACACUGGGGGGUCAGACCAACCUCCACUCUAACCCCAGGUCUCCCUGGACUGGCUAGUGACCCUGGACGAGAUAUUUCUCUGUCAGAGCCUAGUUUCCUCAUGUGGGACACCAGCUCCUGUGCUGCCCGCCUCCCUUCCUGGGAAGCCCCAGGGUGCAUGUUAAAGUGUGUGCAUGUGCAUGUGUGUGCGGUGGCAGGGGUGUAUUUGUCUGUAAACUUAAGGGCUGGGGCAGUGUCUCCUGUUUCUCACUGCCAGAGUCAGGAAGUCCUGGAGCCUGGAUGUUCCAGAUGGGCUGCUCUCCAGGCACCUGCCACCAUCUUUGCAGGGACGAGAAAGUCCUGCUGUAUGAAUGGCCUGCUCUCCCUGAAGGCAAGGAGACCUUGGAAGAAAAGCCCAUCCCCAGGCCAGUCUGAGCCAGGCUCCCAUGACCCCAGGAGCUCGGACCCGGGCGAGGCUGUCCCUCCCUUGCCUCUGCCCACCCCAGGGGACUGCCCAGACCUGAGUAAACUCAGAGGGCACCAGGCCCACUCCUGGACUCUGAGAUGGGAUACCAAGGCCGGGGCCCAGAGGACCUGCCUGUGCCUGUGAAGUGACUAUGGGCCUGGGCCUGAGUGCCCCUCCACAUGGUCCAGAAAGACAGUACCUCCUCACCCAGUUUGCAGAAAAAGACCCCUUUGUGUGGCUUCAUGCAGGGCCUCCCACAUACUAAGUGCCCUGCAAGUGGAUGCCAGAUGAUUCAUUCCUAAGGCAGAAACCAAACUCUCAGCCUGUGGACUAUUCUUGUCAAUUAAUAUGUUUUUAUUUGUUGAAGUAUAUUUUAAAAAAAUUAAAUUUAGUUGCCAAUACUUGAAUAAUUCAGAGAUUCUAUGUAAAAAUCUAGUUUCCCAGCCUCUCUGGAGAAAUGGAACACUAGGCACCUGGUGCACCUCUCCACAUGGCAACAUUCAGCUGGGCCGCCAGGUGGAAGGCAGGCACUGUGGCUUCUCAAGUCCCUACCACUCCCUCUGUCCACCUGCCCCAAGUUUGGGCUCCUCUUCCAGCCUCACCUCUAUGGGCCAGUGACCUCCAGUGCUGCUCUGUGUCCCUUUGGCCUUCCUGUGUCACCCUCUGACCCACAGGUCUGUCACUUGGCCCUCCUUGAGAGGGGGACCUUGGUAUAAUUGAUUUGGUUGUUAUCUGAUAUGGUGGAGAAAAGUAUUACUGAACUGCUGGCACCAGAUUCUUCUCUCUUGUUUGGAGAUUUGGGUGACUUUUUUUGGGGGUAGGGGAGAGCUCAGACCUUGAGGGUGUCUGACCCUAGCACGAAGAGGGGGGGCUGCUUCCACAGGAAAGGGAGGAAUUUGUUGUUUUGUUUCUGGGGAAGAGUGCAGAGGAGGAAAAGGAGAGAGAGAGAGAGCAGAAGAUGACAAAAGAUGGGGUGCCCUCAUGGCCAGAACAGAGAGUCAAAGGCCAUUUGGGAAACAGUGAUGUGCCUUCCAAGGCCUGUCUGUCACAGAGACAGGUAUAGCCCAUCGCCUUCCACUUGGGGUCCAUGCGUCCUCUCUGCUCACUGCUGUGUCUGAAGACAAGGUUUCCUGGAGCUUGGAGAGGGGCUGGAUAUUGACUGGAGGUUGGUCUGGGCUGCGAGAGGCCAUGUAGGAAGCAGAUGCUGCCCCUUUGAGAGGGUAUCCCAGGACCCAGUCUCCCAGGACCCGCAGGCGCAGGGGAAGGGCUAGGAGUGUCCAGAGAUUGUGGAACUGCAGGUGCCUGGAGAGGGGCGUGGAGGUGGGACAAAUCAUGGUACUAGGAACUUGGAGCGGGUGCACAACAGAGAAGCCCCAACUGAGGGACGCUGGUUUCCAGAAGGAGCCAGGCUCCGGUGCUAAUGGGAAACCCAUCUCUGAGCUGCCGGUUUAUUUUGGGCUCCGGGGGCGGUAGCACCGCCCAGGGCCUAGACGGUGCACAGCAGG
RNAcentral lists this long non-coding RNA (4932 nucleotides) under Sus scrofa (pig). Its description in RNAcentral is "lncRNA (ENSSSCG00005032143.1)". The record is from RNAcentral. Lineage: Eukaryota; Metazoa; Chordata; Mammalia; Artiodactyla; Suidae.